RNAcentral lists this ribosomal RNA (770 nucleotides) under Vibrio parahaemolyticus. RNAcentral's name for it is "bacterial LSU rRNA". It matches the Rfam family "Bacterial large subunit ribosomal RNA", at positions 2179 to 2925 of the family's 2925-position model. Lineage: Bacteria; Pseudomonadati; Pseudomonadota; Gammaproteobacteria; Vibrionales; Vibrionaceae. The record is from RNAcentral.
UGUGGAGCCGUCCUUGAAAUACCACCCUUGUAGUGUUGAUGUUCUAACGUCGACCCCUUAUCGGGGUUACGGACAGUGCCUGGUGGGUAGUUUGACUGGGGCGGUCUCCUCCCAAAGAGUAACGGAGGAGCACGAAGGUGGGCUAAUCACGGUUGGACAUCGUGAGGUUAGUGCAAUGGCAUAAGCCCGCUUGACUGCGAGAAUGACAAUUCGAGCAGGUGCGAAAGCAGGUCAUAGUGAUCCGGUGGUUCUGAAUGGAAGGGCCAUCGCUCAACGGAUAAAAGGUACUCCGGGGAUAACAGGCUGAUACCGCCCAAGAGUUCAUAUCGACGGCGGUGUUUGGCACCUCGAUGUCGGCUCAUCACAUCCUGGGGCUGAAGUCGGUCCCAAGGGUAUGGCUGUUCGCCAUUUAAAGUGGUACGCGAGCUGGGUUUAGAACGUCGUGAGACAGUUCGGUCCCUAUCUGCCGUGGGCGUUGGAAGAUUGAAGGGGGCUGCUCCUAGUACGAGAGGACCGGAGUGGACGAACCUCUGGUGUUCGGGUUGUGUCGCCAGACGCAUUGCCCGGUAGCUAAGUUCGGAAUCGAUAACCGCUGAAAGCAUCUAAGCGGGAAGCGAGCCCUGAGAUGAGUCUUCCCUGAUACUUUAAGUAUCCUAAAGGGUUGUCGGAGACUACGACGUUGAUAGGUCAGGUGUGUAAGUGCUGUGAGGCAUUGAGCUAACUGAUACUAAUUGCCCGUGAGGCUUAACCAUACAACACCCAAGGGGUUU